AUGAUAGAUCAAAAUCUUAGUAUCCUAAGCUGGAAUGUCUGAGGCUUAAAUUGUCCCGACCGGCGAGCAACAAUCCUAGAAACAAUCAUUGCUACUCCAUGUCACUUGGUCUGCCUGCAGGAGACCAAGCUAGAGCUCGUCGACCCUUUCAUCGCUUCGUACUUGGGAGGUCAAAGAUUGAAGAAUUUUUCCCAGCACCCUGCUGAUGGUACACGGGGUGGCAUACUUCUCUGGGAUGACGAUACUGUGGACGUGAAGGAUGUUUGCAUUGGAGCCUUCUUCCUCUCCCGCAAUGUCACGAUCAAUGCAUCCAAUAAAACCUUUAAGCUAACAACGGUCCACGGACCAAUGAGAAGCAACCUCAAGGAUGCUUUCUUCCAGGAGCUGGUUGGCGAGAAACCUCCCCAUGGUUCAAAGUGGCUAGUCACUGGUGACUUUAACCAAAUAUAUCGUGCCAGAGACAAGAAUAGAGAAAACAUCGACCAAGUCCUUGUCCGCUUCCGUAAUGCACUGAAUACUUGCGAGCUCAAAGAGAUUCACUUGAAAAACAGAAAAUUCACUUGGAGUAAUGAACGGAGUGACCCGGCCUUAAGCAAGCUCGACUCUUUCUUUUGUAAUGAAUAUUAGGACCUCGAUUUUGGCACUCACCUUAUCCACGCACUCUCGUCGUCAUUGUCCGAUCACUGCCCCCUCCUCCUUGCAAAUGACAACGGCCUGAGGAGAUCAAAGUCCUUCCGUUUUGAAAACUUUUGGAUCAAAAUGCCUGGGUUCAAAUAGGUUGUCCAGGAAGCUUGGAAUAAGAAUAUUAAUCACACAGAUCCUUACCACAUCAUUUUUCACAAGUUAAAAGAAAAUAGUCAAAACUUGAGGAGAUGGAGCGAGACGAUCUUCGGGCACUCGAAGGUGCAACUCCACAUGGCUCUGGAAGUUAUCCUUCGCCUGGAUGUGGCUCAAGAACUUCGGCUCCUUAGCACUGACGAGCGAGAUCUACGGAAGCACCUCAAACGGAAGGUGGUUGCCUUGGCCAUUAUGGAGUGUGCACGGAAUCGACAAAGCUCGCGAAUUACCAACCUAAAAGAUGGAGACGCCAUCACCCGUUUUCUCCACCUACGGGCCAAUCAUAGAAGAAGGAAGAACUUCAUCGACCGCCUCAAGCAUAACAACGAAUGGGUUACUGCCCAUGAUCAUAAGAAGGCCAUCAUCCAAGAUCAUUUCGCGAAGGUCACCAAACACAGUCUACCGCGUCGCACCGAUUUCAACUGGGACAAUAUCCCGGUCCCUGAGUGCGACCUCACGGGCCUUGGAGUGGCCUUCAUAGAGAAGAGGUGA
Molecule: ribosomal RNA, 1329 nt
Filed under: Triticum aestivum (bread wheat)
Lineage: Eukaryota; Viridiplantae; Streptophyta; Magnoliopsida; Poales; Poaceae
Description: partial small subunit ribosomal RNA
Source: RNAcentral